AGCUCUGAUAGCGUAUAUUAUUGAUGUUGCAGUUAAAACGUUCGUAGUCGAACUUUAUCUGCUCAGAUAUUGUGGUAUCUAUGAUAUCGCAGUAUUUUUAGCAGAGAUAGUGCAAGGAACAUCGCACGAGUUUCUUGUGUUGGUGACCUUGCAUCUUACUUUGAGUGAAUCGGCGUGUUCCACGCAAGCAUGUGCUUUGAACGAUUUACCAUAGUAUAAUUACAGUAUGAAGGCAUCUCCUUGUUUGUUCGGAGGUGGUUUCUAUACUGAUAAGAACGGUUGAGGGCAUUCGUAUUCAACUGCCAGAGGUGAAAUUCUUUGAUUAGUUGAGGACGAACUAUUGCGAAAGCAUCUGCCAAGGACGUUUCUUUUG
RNAcentral lists this ribosomal RNA (373 nucleotides) under Lecudina sp. RNAcentral's name for it is "partial small subunit ribosomal RNA". It matches the Rfam family "Eukaryotic small subunit ribosomal RNA", at positions 587 to 975 of the family's 1831-position model. The record is from RNAcentral. Lineage: Eukaryota; Apicomplexa; Conoidasida; Eugregarinorida; Lecudinidae.